Molecule: transfer RNA, 71 nt
Filed under: Solobacterium sp.
Lineage: Bacteria; Bacillati; Bacillota; Erysipelotrichia; Erysipelotrichales; Erysipelotrichaceae
Also listed under: 1 other name
Description: tRNA-Gly
Rfam family: tRNA
About the family: Transfer RNA (tRNA) molecules are approximately 80 nucleotides in length. Their secondary structure includes four short double-helical elements and three loops (D, anti-codon, and T loops).
Source: RNAcentral
GCGCCGGUAAUUCAAUGGCAGAAUGUCAGCUUCCCAAGCUGAAUACGCGGGUCCGAUUCCCGUUCGGCGCU